Molecule: ribosomal RNA, 385 nt
Filed under: uncultured bacterium
Lineage: Bacteria
Description: bacterial SSU rRNA
Rfam family: Bacterial small subunit ribosomal RNA
Source: RNAcentral
UGGGGAAUUUUCCGCAAUGGGGGAAAGCCUGACGGAGCAAUCUCGCGUGAGGGAUGACGGCCUAUGGGUUGUAAACCUCUUUUUUCAGGGAGGAACAAAAUGACGUGUACCUGAAGAAUAAGCAUCGGCUAACUCCGUGCCAGCAGCCGCGGUAAGACGGAGGAUGCAAGUGUUAUCCGGAAUCACUGGGCGUAAAGCGUCUGUAGGUGGUUUGAUAAGUCAACUGUUAAAUCUUGAAGCUCAACUUCAAAAUCGCAGUCGAAACUAUUAGACUAGAGUAUAGUAGGGGUAAAGGGAAUUUCCAGUGGAGCGGUGAAAUGCGUAGAUAUUGGAAAGAACACCGAUGGCGAAGGCACUUUACUGGGCUAUUACUGACACUCAGAGA